AGCUAAUAGAUACCCAGGUAGUCCACGCCCUAAACGAUGUCUACUAGUUGUUGGUGGAGUAAAAUCCAUGAGUAAACGCAGCUAACGCGUGAAGUAGACCGCCUGGGGAGUACGGUCGCAAGAUUAAAAACUCAAAGGAAUUGACGGGGGCCCGCACAAGCGGUGGAUUAUGUGGAUUAAUUCGAUGCAACGCGAAAACCUUACCUGGCCUUGACAUGCCACUAACGAAGCAGAGAUGCAUUAGGUGCCCGUAAGGGAAAGUGGACACAGGUGCUGCAUGGCUGUCGUCAGCUCGUGUCGUGAGAUGUUGGGUUAAG
Molecule: ribosomal RNA, 317 nt
Filed under: uncultured bacterium
Lineage: Bacteria
Description: bacterial SSU rRNA
Rfam family: Bacterial small subunit ribosomal RNA
Source: RNAcentral